AUGGCGUCCCCGUCCAUCUCCGACGCUGCGGUGGCCAGCCCCGUCACCCCGGUGGCCCUAGACCCCAGCCCCGUCGCAUCCCGCCCCCCCGCCGCCACCGCCCCGGUGCGCAAGCGGCCGGUCCUCCUCCUCGACCAGCGCCCGCACCCAUCCACCCCGACGUCGCGCACCGCUGCCGCCGCCGCCGCCGCCGCUGCGCCCCUGUCCCAGGCGCGGCGGAAGAGGGGGCUGUCGUCCUCCGGUCGGCCGAGGUGGCAGACCGCGCUAAGCGUCGCCGCCAAGAACGCAGCCCUCCUAGCCGUGCUCCUUUACCUGGGGGACCAGGCCUGGCGCUGGGCGCACCCAGCCCCUCUCGCGCAGCCCGACGACGCUGCGCUCGCGGGUUACACUGCCCGUGUCAACGACGUCGAGGCCUCCCUCGCCCGCGCCUUCGGGGCGCUGAAGGUGCAGCUCGAGGCCGUGGACCGCAAGAUCGACGGCGAGGUUGGGGCCGCUCGGGGCGAGCUCGCGGCGCUGCUGGAGGAGAAGAGGCUUGCCAUCGAGGGACAGCUCAACCUGCUGGACGCCAGGACCGACGAGCUGAACGACGCGCUGGGCGGGCUCAGGCGGAUGGAGUUCCUCAGGAAGGACCAGUUUGAAGCAUUCCUGGAUGAGUUCAAGGAGAGCCUAGGCUCCAACUCUGGCACCGAGGUCGAUCUGGAUCAGGUCCGCGCGUUGGCCAGGGAGAUCGUCAUGAGGGAAAUAGAGAAGCAUGCCGCCGAUGGGGUUGGCAGGGUGGACUAUGCCGUGGGGUCUGCUGGGGGAAGAGUUGUCCGCUACUCGGAGGCAUAUGAUGCUGGGAAACGUGGUGGUCUUCUUUCUGCAUUACCAUUUGGUGGUGGAGACAAUGGUGACCAGUCACAGAAGAUACUUCAGCCGAGCUUUGGGGAGCCCGGGCAGUGCUUUCCCUUGAAGGGGAGUAGUGGGUUUGUGGAGAUCCAACUGAGGAAGGGGAUAAUCCCUGAGGCAAUCACACUGGAGCAUGUGUCCAAGGAUGUGGCGUAUGACAUGUCCACUGCUCCAAAGGACUGCCGGCUAUCCGGAUGGUACCAAGGAACACAUACCGAGACCCCUCCAAACCAUGCUGCAGAGAUGUACGCCUUGACCGAGUUCACGUACGACCUAGCCAAGAACAAUAUCCAGACAUUCGAUAUAACUGCCCCAGAUGUCGGUGUUGUCAACAUGGUUAGGCUGGACUUCACUUCAAACCAUGGAAGCUCCGCGCUGACGUGCAUUUACCGCAUCCGGGUGCAUGGGCAUGAGCCUGUCACGCCAGUAAUCGCUAGUCCACUGCCCUGA
This 1338-nucleotide ribosomal RNA is filed under the name Triticum aestivum (bread wheat). Its description in RNAcentral is "partial small subunit ribosomal RNA". Lineage: Eukaryota; Viridiplantae; Streptophyta; Magnoliopsida; Poales; Poaceae. The record is from RNAcentral.